CCUACGGGAGGCAGCAGUGAGGAAUAUUGCUCAAUGGAGGCAAGCCUGAAGCAGCAACGCAGCGUGGAGGAUGACGGUUUUCGGAUUGUAAACUCGUUUUGUUAGAGAAGAUAAUGACGGUAUCUGACGCAUAAGCACCAGCUAACUCCGGGCCAGCAGCCGCGGUAAUACGGAGGGUGCAAGCGUUACUCGGAAUCACUGGGCGUAAAGAGCGCGUAGGCGGGAUAGCAAGUCAGAUGUGAAAUCCUACGGCUUAACCAUAGAAUUGCAUUUGAAACUGUGAGUCUAGAGUAUGGGAGAGGUAGGCGGAAUUCUUGGUGUAGGGGUAAAAUCCGUAGAGAUCAAGAGGAACACUCAUCGCGAAGGCGA
This 369-nucleotide ribosomal RNA is filed under the name uncultured bacterium. RNAcentral describes it as "partial 16S ribosomal RNA". It matches the Rfam family "Bacterial small subunit ribosomal RNA", at positions 338 to 724 of the family's 1533-position model. The record is from RNAcentral.